This 59-nucleotide microRNA precursor is filed under the name Microcebus murinus (gray mouse lemur). Its description in RNAcentral is "microRNA mmr-mir-34b precursor". Its record names the gene mmr-mir-34b. Lineage: Eukaryota; Metazoa; Chordata; Mammalia; Primates; Cheirogaleidae. The record is from miRBase by way of RNAcentral.
AGGCAGUGUAAUUAGCUGAUUGUACUGUGGCGCUUACAAUCACUAACUCCACUGCCAUC